GGCUGUCCGAGGGCAGUGGUAUUUACAACCAAUUGAUCACAACCAGUUACAGAUUGCUUUGUUCCUUCCUGACCCCCACUGCUUCACUUGACUAGCCUUAA
RNAcentral lists this Y RNA (101 nucleotides) under Prolemur simus (greater bamboo lemur). RNAcentral describes it as "Y RNA (ENSPSMG00000002810.1)". It matches the Rfam family "Y RNA". From Rfam's summary of the family: Y RNAs are components of the Ro ribonucleoprotein particle (Ro RNP), in association with Ro60 and La proteins. The Y RNAs and Ro60 and La proteins are well conserved, but the function of the Ro RNP is not known. Lineage: Eukaryota; Metazoa; Chordata; Mammalia; Primates; Lemuridae. The record is from Rfam by way of RNAcentral.